Molecule: ribosomal RNA, 606 nt
Filed under: Triticum aestivum (bread wheat)
Lineage: Eukaryota; Viridiplantae; Streptophyta; Magnoliopsida; Poales; Poaceae
Description: partial small subunit ribosomal RNA
Source: RNAcentral
AUGCGUAGCAGCCCCCAUUCUUUAUACACUACACUUUUUGGCAAACGAAUUAAACUUCUUUAUUCAGAAUUCGAUCUGACUGAGAGAGUGAGUGGUCUCUUCACUGGGCCUGGCCAAAGGCCCAACAGUGUUUUGAGGGAGGCCGAAGGCAACGGUGUUUUGAGGGAGGCCGAAGGCCCAACUUACUUUACUUACUUCUAUCUUCAUGCUUGUCAAUGUCUCGAAAAAAUAAAUCUUCAUGCUUUGGCUGCCGAUUGCUGCACCUCGCCGGCCCGCUUCGGCGCCGGCAGUGCCGCCGUCGCCCUCCCCCGCCACCGCGCGGCUUUGGAGCACCCCCUACCAAAACACGAGACCGUUCCGCCCGGCACCACCUCGCCGCCCACCACCGCCCCGCACGAGCGCCCAUUCCCCAACCCUCGUCGGGGCCGCCGGUCGACAGACCAACCACGGCUAGGAGUCUCUGGGAAAGCCAAGGCGAUCAACUUGGAAGAAGCACUUUGGUUGGUGCCAGUUCGCUGUCCUCGUGGUCGAUGGCCAACACUCUGUCUUCAUGGUUCAGCGGCACCUGUGACUGAUGCCGUCGGCUGUGUUACUGAGAUAUCCUAA